UACGGAGGAUGCGAGCGUUAUCCGGAUUUAUUGGGUUUAAAGGGUGCGUAGGCGGAACGGAAAGUCAGCGGUAAAAAUGCGGGGCUCAACCCCGUCGAGCCGUUGAAACUGUCGUUCUUGAGUGGGCGAGAAGUAUGCGGAAUGCGAGGUGUAGCGGUGAAAUGCAUAGAUAUCACGCAGAACUCCGAUUGCGAAGGCAGCAUACCGGCGCCCAACUGACGCUGAAGCACGAAAGCGUGGGUAUCGAACAGG
This 252-nucleotide ribosomal RNA is filed under the name uncultured bacterium. RNAcentral's name for it is "partial 16S ribosomal RNA". It matches the Rfam family "Bacterial small subunit ribosomal RNA", at positions 524 to 776 of the family's 1533-position model. The record is from RNAcentral. RNAcentral also lists the same sequence under 1 other name.